This 497-nucleotide ribosomal RNA is filed under the name uncultured bacterium. Its description in RNAcentral is "partial 16S ribosomal RNA". It matches the Rfam family "Bacterial small subunit ribosomal RNA", at positions 28 to 507 of the family's 1533-position model. The record is from RNAcentral.
GACGAACGCUGGCGGCGUGCCUAAUACAUACAAGUUGAGCGAUGAAGAUUGGUGCUUGCACCAAUUUGAAGAGCAGCGAACGGGUGAGUAACGCGUGGGGAAUCUGCCUUUGAGCGGGGGGCAACAUUUGGAAACGAAUGCUAAUACCGCAUAACAACUUUAAACAUAAGUUUUAAGUUUGAAAGAUGCAAUUGCAUCACUCAAAGAUGAUCCCGCGUUGUAUUAGCUAGUUGGUGAGGUAAAGGCUCACCAAGGCGAUGAUACAUAGCCGACCUGAGAGGGUGGUCGGCCACAUUGGGACUGAGACACAGGCCAAGCUUCUACGGGAGGCAGCAGUAGGGGAUCUUGGGCAAUGGACGAAAGUCUGACCGAGCAACGCCGCGUGAGUGAAGAAGGGUUUCGGAUCGUAAAACUCUGUUGGUAGAGAAGAACGUUGGUGAGAGUGGAAAGCUCAUCAAGUGACGGUAACUACCCAGAAAGGGACGGCUAACUACGUG